GACGAACGCUGGCGGCGUGCUUAACACAUGCAAGUCGAACGGAAAGGCCCUGCUUUUGUGGGGUGCUCGAGUGGCGAACGGGUGAGUAACACGUGAGUAACCUGCCCUUGACUUUGGGAUAACUUCAGGAAACUGGGGCUAAUACCGGCUAGGUGCUCCUGCUGCAUGGUGGAGGUUGGAAAGUUUCGGCGGUUGGGGAUGGACUCGCGGCUUAUCAGCUUGUUGGUGGGGUAGUGGCUUACCAAGGCUUUGACGGGUAGCCGGCAUGGGAGGGUAGCCGGCCACAUUGGGACUGAGAUACGGACCAGACUCGUACGGGAGGCAGCAGUGGGGAAUAUUGCACAGUGGGCGGAAGCCUGAUGCGGCAACGCCGCGUGCGGGAUGACGGCCUUCGGGUUGUAAACCGCAUUAGCCUGUGACGAAGCGUGAGUGACGGUAAUGGGUAAAGAAGCACCGGCUAACUACGUG
Molecule: ribosomal RNA, 468 nt
Filed under: uncultured bacterium
Lineage: Bacteria
Description: partial 16S ribosomal RNA
Rfam family: Bacterial small subunit ribosomal RNA
Source: RNAcentral